RNAcentral lists this ribosomal RNA (747 nucleotides) under Salmonella enterica. RNAcentral describes it as "partial 23S ribosomal RNA". It matches the Rfam family "Bacterial large subunit ribosomal RNA", at positions 2079 to 2824 of the family's 2925-position model. Lineage: Bacteria; Pseudomonadati; Pseudomonadota; Gammaproteobacteria; Enterobacterales; Enterobacteriaceae. The record is from RNAcentral.
GACGGAAAGACCCCGUGAACCUUUACUAUAGCUUGACACUGAACAUUGAGCCUUGAUGUGUAGGAUAGGUGGGAGGCUUUGAAGUGUGGACGCCAGUCUGCAUGGAGCCGGCCUUGAAAUACCACCCUUUAAUGUUUGAUGUUCUAACGUGGACCCGUAAUCCGGGUUGCGGACAGUGUCUGGUGGGUAGUUUGACUGGGGCGGUCUCCUCCUAAAGAGUAACGGAGGAGCACGAAGGUUGGCUAAUCCUGGUCGGACAUCAGGAGGUUAGUGCAAUGGCAUAAGCCAGCUUGACUGCGAGCGUGACGGCGCGAGCAGGUGCGAAAGCAGGUCAUAGUGAUCCGGUGGUUCUGAAUGGAAGGGCCAUCGCUCAACGGAUAAAAGGUACUCCGGGGAUAACAGGCUGAUACCGCCCAAGAGUUCAUAUCGACGGCGGUGUUUGGCACCUCGAUGUCGGCUCAUCACAUCCUGGGGCUGAAGUAGGUCCCAAGGGUAUGGCUGUUCGCCAUUUAAAGUGGUACGCGAGCUGGGUUUAGAACGUCGUGAGACAGUUCGGUCCCUAUCUGCCGUGGGCGCUGGAGAACUGAGGGGGGCUGCUCCUAGUACGAGAGGACCGGAGUGGACGCAUCACUGGUGUUCGGGUUGUCAUGCCAAUGGCACUGCCCGGUAGCUAAAUGCGGAAGAGAUAAGUGCUGAAAGCAUCUAAGCACGAAACUUGCCCCGAGAUGAGUUCUCCCUGAGACUUAG